AUGUGAUCGUCUCUCGCAUAUCAAUAAGCGGAGGAAAAGAAACUAACAAGGAUUCCCCUAGUAACGGCGAGUGAAGCGGGAAGAGCUCAAAUUUGAAAUCUUAAAGGGUUUCCCUUUACGAAUUGUAGUUUAAAGAAGUGUUUUCUGUUGAGGUUUUGGUAAAAGUUCUUUGGAAUAGGACAUCAUAGAGGGUGAGAAUCCCGUAUUUGACCUUUACUUUCAACUUUGUGAUACACUUUCAAAGAGUCGGAUUGUUUGGGAAUGCAGUCCAAAAUGGGUGGUAAAUUUCAUCUAAAGCUAAAUAUUGGCGAGAGACCGAUAGCGAACAAGUACCGUGAGGGAAAGAUGAAAAGAACUUUGAAAAGAGAGUUAAACAGUACGUGAAAUUGUCAAAAGGGAAGCGUUUGACACCAGUGUUGUUUUUCUGAAAAUCAAUUAAAGAACUGUUUAUGCUAAGUUGUUUAGACUUUAUCAGCUAACUGUUUAGUUUUGAGCUUUUCUUUAAUGCACUUUUCAGUUAACAAGUCAACAUCAAUUUCUUUUGCUGUAAAAAAGCUUGAGGAAGGUGGCUUGAGAUUCGUCUUAAGUGUUUAUAGCCUCUUGCCUAUGCAGUCGGAGAGAUUGAGGUCUGCAGCGUAGAUCCUUCGGGGCUAAAUGCAUUUGUGCUAAGUUAUAGCAUUUUAUAGACAACUUGUUGACUAUGAUUUGUCUUGUAGCUUACUCGCUUAUGCUAUUUUACCUACGCUUAGGAUGUUGACUGAUAUGUAGUCGUA
RNAcentral lists this ribosomal RNA (773 nucleotides) under uncultured Neocallimastigales. RNAcentral describes it as "partial large subunit ribosomal RNA". It matches the Rfam family "Eukaryotic large subunit ribosomal RNA", at positions 24 to 644 of the family's 3401-position model. The record is from RNAcentral. Lineage: Eukaryota; Fungi; Neocallimastigomycota; Neocallimastigomycetes; Neocallimastigales.